GAUGAACGCUAGCUACAGGCUUAACACAUGCAAGUCGAGGGGCAGCAUGGUCUUAGCUUGCUAAGGCCGAUGGCGACCGGCGCACGGGUGAGUAACACGUAUCCAACCUGCCGUCUACUCUUGGACAGCCUUCUGAAAGGAAGAUUAAUACAAGAUGGCAUCAUGAGUCCGCAUGUUCACAUGAUUAAAGGUAUUCCGGUAGACGAUGGGGAUGCGUUCCAUUAGAUAGUAGGCGGGGUAACGGCCCACCUAGUCUUCGAUGGAUAGGGGUUCUGAGAGGAAGGUCCCCCACAUUGGAACUGAGACACGGUCCAAACUCCUACGGGAGGCAGCAGUGAGGAAUAUUGGUCAAUGGGCGAGAGCCUGAACCAGCCAAGUAGCGUGAAGGAUGACUGUCCUAUGGGUUGUAAACUCCUUUUAUAAAGGAAUAAAGUCGGGUAUGGAUACCCGUUUGCAUGUACUUUAUGAAUAAGGAUCGGCUAACUCCGUGCCAGCAGCCGCGGUAAUACGGAGGAUCCGAGCGUUAUCCGGAUUUAUUGGGUUUAAAGGGAGCGUAGAUGGAUGUUUAAGUCAGUUGUGAAAGUUUGCGGCUCAACCGUAAAAUUGCAGUUGAUACUGGAUAUCUUGAGUGCAGUUGAGGCAGGCGGAAUUCGUGGUGUAGCGGUGAAAUGCUUAGAUAUCACGAAGAACUCCGAUUGCGAAGGCAGCCUGCUAAGCUGCAACUGACAUUGAGGCUCGAAAGUGUGGGUAUCAAACAGGAUUAGAUACCCUGGUAGUCCACACGGUAAACGAUGAAUACUCGCUGUUUGCGAUAUACUGCAAGCGGCCAAGCGAAAGCGUUAAGUAUUCCACCUGGGGAGUACGCCGGCAACGGUGAAACUCGAAGGAAUUGACGGGGGCCCGCACAAGCGGAGGAACAUGUGGUUUAAUUCGAUGAUACGCGAGGAACCUUACCCGGGCUUAAAUUGCAGAUGAAUUACGGUGAAAGCCGUAAGCCGCAAGGCAUCUGUGAAGGUGCUGCAUGGUUGUCGUCAGCUCGUGCCGUGAGGUGUCGGCUUAAGUGCCACAACGAGCGCAACCCUUGUUGUCAGUUACUAACAGGUUCCGCUGAGGACUCUGACAAGACUGCCAUCGUAAGAUGUGAGGAAGGUGGGGAUGACGUCAAAUCAGCACGGCCCUUACGUCCGGGGCUACACACGUGUUACAAUGGGGGGUACAGAGGGCCGCUACCACGCGAGUGGAUGCCAAUCCCCAAAACCUCUCUCAGUUCGGACUGGAGUCUGCAACCCGACUCCACGAAGCUGGAUUCGCUAGUAAUCGCGCAUCAGCCACGGCGCGGUGAAUACGUUCCCGGGCCUUGUACACACCGCCCGUCAAGCCAUGGGAGCCGGGGGUACCUGAAGUGCGUAACCGCGAGGAGCGCCCUAGGGUAAAACUGGUGACUGGGGCUAAG
RNAcentral lists this ribosomal RNA (1453 nucleotides) under uncultured bacterium. Its description in RNAcentral is "bacterial SSU rRNA". It matches the Rfam family "Bacterial small subunit ribosomal RNA". The record is from RNAcentral.